AGAAAAGUGACCGCCGCCCCGCGCAGGGGCGACGCUAAUAGACCGUUAGCGCAACAGGUUCAACGACAGGGCGAGGAUCACAGACAUCGACCCCACGCCCCCGCGAGCCACUC
Molecule: non-coding RNA, 113 nt
Organism: Burkholderia cenocepacia PC184
Lineage: Bacteria; Pseudomonadati; Pseudomonadota; Betaproteobacteria; Burkholderiales; Burkholderiaceae
Source: Rfam